GUCGAGAAUUUUUCUCAAUGGGGGAAACCCUGAAGGAGCGACGCCGCGUGGGGGAUGAAUGGCUUCGGCCCGUAAACCCCUGUCAUUCGGGAUCAAACGUUAUUCAUGAAUAAUGGGUAACCUGAUUGUACCGGAAGAGGAAGGGACGGCUAACUCUGUGCCAGCAGCCGCGGUAAUACAGAGGUCCCAAGCGUUGUUCGGAUUUACUGGGCGUAAAGGGUGCGUAGGCGGUGGGGUAAGUUUGAGGUGAAAGCUCCGGGCUCAACCCGGAAAAUGCCUUGAAUACUAUCCCGCUAGAGGUUUGGAGGGGAGACUGGAAUUCUCGGUGUAGCAGUGAAAUGCGUAGAUCUCGAGAGGAACACCAGUGGCGAAGGCGGGUCUCUGGACAACACCUGACGCUGAGGCACGAAAGCCAGGGGAGCAAACGGGAUUAGAUACCCCAGUAGUCC
Molecule: ribosomal RNA, 449 nt
Filed under: uncultured bacterium
Lineage: Bacteria
Description: bacterial SSU rRNA
Rfam family: Bacterial small subunit ribosomal RNA
Source: RNAcentral